UGAACGCUGGCGGCAGGCCUUAACACAUGCAAGUCGAGCGGGAAACGAGAGGUGCUUGCACCUCUGCGUUCGAGCGGCGGACGGGUGAGUAAUGCUUGGGAAUAUGCCUUAUGGUGGGGGACAACAGUUGGAAACGACUGCUAAUACCGCAUGAUGUCUACGGACCAAAGUGGGGGACCUUCGGGCCUCACGCCAUAAGAUUAGCCCAAGUGGGAUUAGCUAGUUGGUGAGGUAAUGGCUCACCAAGGCGACGAUCCCUAGCUGGUUUGAGAGGAUGAUCAGCCACACUGGGACUGAGACACGGCCCAGACUCCUACGGGAGGCAGCAGUGGGGAAUAUUGCACAAUGGGCGCAAGCCUGAUGCAGCCAUGCCGCGUGUGUGAAGAAGGCCUUCGGGUUGUAAAGCACUUUCAGUAAGGAGGAAAGGUUAAGUGUUAAUAGCACUUAGCUGUGACGUUACUUACAGAAGAAGCACCGGCUAACUCCGUGCC
RNAcentral lists this ribosomal RNA (491 nucleotides) under gamma proteobacterium MED1. RNAcentral's name for it is "bacterial SSU rRNA". It matches the Rfam family "Bacterial small subunit ribosomal RNA", at positions 30 to 509 of the family's 1533-position model. Lineage: Bacteria; Pseudomonadati; Pseudomonadota; Gammaproteobacteria. The record is from RNAcentral.